This 423-nucleotide ribosomal RNA is filed under the name uncultured bacterium. Its description in RNAcentral is "bacterial SSU rRNA". It matches the Rfam family "Bacterial small subunit ribosomal RNA", at positions 207 to 622 of the family's 1533-position model. The record is from RNAcentral.
AAGACCUUGCGCUUUUGGAGCGGCCGAUGCCUGAUUAGCUAGUUGGUGGGGUAAUGGCCUACCAAAGCUUCGAUCAGUAGCUGGUCUGAGAGGACGGCCAGCCACACUGGGACUGAGACACGGCCCAGACUCCUACGGGAGGCAGCAGUGGGGAAUUUUGGACAAUGGGCGCAAGCCUGAUCCAGCCAUGCCGCGUGAGUGAAGAAGGCCUUCGGGUUGUAAAGCUCUUUCAGCCGGGAAGAAAAGGUUGCGACUAAUAAUCGCAAUCCAUGACGGUACCGAAAGAAGAAGCACCGGCUAACUACGUGCCAGCAGCCGCGGUAAUACGUAGGGUGCGAGCGUUAAUCGGAAUUACUGGGCGUAAAGGGUGCGCAGGCGGUUUUGUAAGUCAGAUGUGAAAUCCCCGGGCUUAACCUGGGAACU